RNAcentral lists this long non-coding RNA (368 nucleotides) under Ursus maritimus (polar bear). Its description in RNAcentral is "lncRNA (ENSUMAG00000011429.1)". Lineage: Eukaryota; Metazoa; Chordata; Mammalia; Carnivora; Ursidae. The record is from RNAcentral.
CUGACUUCUACUCUGAACCUCCUUAAUAUCUCUAAUGUAAGGAUUUACAUAAUUAAAGAGAAGAAUCAUUUUGUUAACUAAUUAUGAGAUGAUUGAUGGCCAGAGUUAAGGGCAGUGACUUGGCCUUAGGGCCUGGGCCUCUAGCUGAUGGCAGAUUUAACAGGACCGUCUGGGAGAGAGCUCUAAGUAUCUACGGAGUUGAAGGAACAUCAAAUGAAAGUAGGGGAGCUAACAUCCUGUCUCUGCCAGCUGAGCUUAGAAGGCAAAGAAGAACAUUGGUAAUAAGACUUAGAAGUUGUCCCAAGCUAACGCCGGAAACUAUAAAGGACAUCUUGGUCUCCAGGGUGAGGAAUUCAUUUUACUCUUAA